UUUAAAGAGAGUUUGAUCCUGGCUCAGGACGAACGCUGGCGGCGUGCCUAAUACAUGCAAGUCGAACGAACGGAGGAAGAGCUUGCUCUUCCAAAGUUAGUGGCGGACGGGUGAGUAACACGUGGGCAACCUGCCUGUAAGUUGGGGAUAACUCCGGGAAACCGGGGCUAAUACCGAAUGAUAAAGUGUGGCGCAUGCCACGCUUUUGAAAGAUGGUUUCGGCUAUCGCUUACAGAUGGGCCCGCGGUGCAUUAGCUAGUUGGUAGGGUAAUGGCCUACCAAGGCAACGAUGCAUAGCCGACCUGAGAGGGUGAUCGGCCACACUGGGACUGAGACACGGCCCAGACUCCUACGGGAGGCAGCAGUAGGGAAUCUUCCGCAAUGGACGAAAGUCUGACGGAGCAACGCCGCGUGUAUGAAGAAGGUUUUCGGAUCGUAAAGUACUGUUGUUAGAGAAGAACAAGGAUAAGAGUAACUGCUUGUCCCUUGACGGUAUCUAACCAGAAAGCCACGGCUAACUACGUGCCAGCAGCCGCGGUAAUA
Molecule: ribosomal RNA, 543 nt
Filed under: Listeria monocytogenes
Lineage: Bacteria; Bacillati; Bacillota; Bacilli; Caryophanales; Listeriaceae
Description: bacterial SSU rRNA
Rfam family: Bacterial small subunit ribosomal RNA
Source: RNAcentral